This 459-nucleotide unclassified non-coding RNA is filed under the name Hevea brasiliensis (rubber tree). Lineage: Eukaryota; Viridiplantae; Streptophyta; Magnoliopsida; Malpighiales; Euphorbiaceae. The record is from RNAcentral.
AACAAAGAACCUCUCAUCAUUACUUGCAGAUAAUUGUUUAUCGGGUUUCACAUAACAAGGCAAAAAACAAUAUCUUCUACCAAAGCCAAGAAGAUAAAAAAAAUGGGAAGGGACCCAACAGCCUAACAGUUUGCCACCAGCCCCACUUUCUAAGGACUGUGAAAUGAAAAUGCUGCAGGGAAGUUCUGCAGACCCGAGAAGAGAUGUUUUUUGGGUUUCCUCACAUAACAAAAGAAUGCUUUGUCUUUUGGCUCUCUCUAUUAAAUUAAAAGGCAGCUAAAAGAGGCUAGAGAGUAUAUGAAGAGGUCUGUAUUUUACCAAAAGCCUAUGCGAAAAUCUGUUUUGAAGAGAAUGAGAAAAUGGUGCCCAAGUGCCAAGCUUUUUUAAUAUCUGUAUUCACGUAUGAAGGGAUGUGGGAUGGGUGGGUCAAAUCUGGUGUAUGAGAGAGAGAGAGAGAGA